GAUAUUCAUCCCCACGUUCCAAAUUCCCUCCGUCGGACACAGAAUUCUCUAGGAUCUGACCAGAAUGGAAAGCAAACAUAACUUUCAAAGAUCUCUCACCCGUCUUUAAGAAUUUCUAAUGACUUUCAAAUACUUCGCCGAGACCCAGACCAGCUAGGAGGUCUGAUGUGUGACCUCUCCCGUUACCGUCUUCCCCUUCCCAGCUCUCCCCGCACGGUAAGGGGGCGUCACGGCGUUCGCAGCGGAGUGAGGCCGGGCAUAAUCACACGACCCAUUCACUUCCCGGCCGGCCGCGGUGAGGACCCAGCAGCUUGGGCGCGCCCUAAGCAGCAGGUACAGGCCAGGCGAGGCUGUGGCCUUCCAGUUGCCUCCUGGAGGCCCUCCCGCCGCUCGCUGGCCCCUUGAGCUGCAGCACACUCCUUCCCCUCGCGAGCCUCCCCUGGGACGCACUCACCGGCCACCAUCGACGGUGCCUUCUCCGCGAAGUUACGGAUGAACUUAGCCAUGGUCUAAGGUGGAAGGUACGUCUCCCGAACCACCGGCUGAAUGUCACCUCCGGAAGGACCCGCGGCAGGACCCCUUUCCCACUUCCAAGCCAGUAUCAGAAUUGGGAUCCAAUCCGCUUUUUCAAACAAGCCACUGUGCAGACCAGAGGAAGAAAGUCUUGUGUGUUGAGAAUGUGCACUAUGCCAGGCAUUUUGUAAUUCAGUGGAAGCAUGCUUUGGGUAUUAGCCCCUUAAGGAUCAAGAUUCCUAAAUAGUCAUACAAGGAGUAUCAUUUGCAAGAUAAAUACAAAGAGGAACAUAAGGUUAAGCAUGGUGGUGAUCUGGGAAGGUGAAGAGAUCCUUGUACUCCAGCAAAGCCAUCAUGAAAACUCGGUAUGUCUGGGAGUCUUAACAGAUUUACAGCUGCUGCGGAGUUCCAGACAUGAGACCCUUUGACCUUUGCAAAUGCACAUAUGCGUCUUAUUGUACCAGGAUGGAAGUCUUUAGAGUUUCUUUUUCUGGAUGUCUUUAAAUUAGUUCACAGAAAGAAAGAAGGCACAGAGGACACUUGGUUUCCUCACCACAGUGGCCUUAAGCUACACACGUGCUUUUGUGAUUAAAGAUGUUCAGCAGCUUCGGUGGCAUCACGGCCAUUCAUAGAAAAGUAUCAGAAGAGCUUAAAAAACAAAACAAACAAAACAGAAGCUUGCCAAAAAAGGCUUACAAUCUAAGGUUCGGUUGAGAAGUAGAAUACAGACAGACAUUAGAGGCAACACAGAGCUCAUGCGCUAGAAAGCUGCCCCCGCUAGAAAGCUGCCGGGAGCAGCUGUCUUCUGGAGGGUUUGGACCCAUUUUCCUCCAGUUUUCACUUGCAAAACUUGGGUCUUCCCUCAUUUUCAAAUAAGAGCGUAAAAGCAUCCUCUCACAUUAGCUUUGGAAAAGUAAGAGCAACAGGUAGAAGCUUAUUUCAUAUGCAGUUCAUUCCCAGAGAGGGAAAGGAGAAUGCUACAUACAGGGAAUGAAGUUCAUUUGAAGAAAAGAAAUCCUGUCAACAUCUAGCUACUGGCUCAGGGGCACACUGAGUCCGUCUUACCCUUCUGGCACUUACAGACAUGCCUGAGUCUUCCCUGUUCACAACAGGGGACAUUCUUUAAUAGCCAGAGUGAGAUGCUCUCUCUAAUCACAAGUUUUCCAGUUGAUACCAACAAGAAAACACACACAAAGGACUACUUAUAGCAAGUUGUGUUGGAAUACUUAAAUACUGCUUUUGUAUAUGUAUAUUCUUUUGUAACAGUAAUGUUCUGUAAAAGAAGCCACAGCCACAUUUUCUUAUCCUUUAAACCUCUGGGCUGAGAUUGAUAUUGAUAUAAAAACAUCCCACAAAGGACUGAGCAAAACAGUUGGAGUAAUGGAGCAGAAGCACUUACUGAUUACCCAGAGAGAAGUACCUAUUUAAAAUGGCUUGGGGACAAGAUUUUGCUUUAAUUUCUACUUUGUUAAUUGAUAAACUAUGGCUAGAUGAGAAGCAGCUCUUAGAAGCCAGGUCACAGCCCAAACUCUAGCUAUGUACAUUGUAAUCUUAGGGUUUUAUCUGACUAAACAAGUGAGAAAACACUGCUACCUACUACAUAAAUCUUACCUGGGAAGACACGAUAUAAUGUGGCACUCAAUUAAGUGAGACUAAUAAAAAAAGGACACAGUAUCUGUGUGUUUAACAUAUACACACUGAGAUAUACUGCAUUAGGUAUCCUAAAAUGAUAUUUUCAUAUGGAUAGAAUAUUUAUUGCCUAUUUUACCCAGGCCUAGUCCUCGGAGCACAAAGGAGAAAAGGGCCCAACAGCUUAUUUAUCCUCUUACUGCAAAGUCCACACAUUACUGUCACUCACUGAAAGAUCGCACAGCUACAUUUUUGGUGGUGAGAUUCUCAUAGGGGUGUUUAUGAUGGUAUAUUUAAGGGACAAGAUACUACAAAAGUUGUAUAAGAUUCCCUCAUCU
Mastomys coucha (southern multimammate mouse) is the source of this 2480-nucleotide long non-coding RNA. RefSeq lists it as uncharacterized. The record is from RefSeq and is a predicted model, not a curated record. NCBI's taxonomy places the organism in Eukaryota, Metazoa, Chordata, Mammalia, Rodentia, Muridae. The transcript has 3 exons.